UAAGGAAUAUUGGACAAUGGAGGCAACUCUGAUCCAGCCAUGCCGCGUGAAGGAAUAAGGCCCUAUGGGUUGUAAGCUUCUUUUAGACGGGACAAAACCCCUUUACGUGUAAAGGGUUGAUGGUACUGUCAGAAUAAGCAUCGGCUAACUUCGUGCCAGCAGCCGCGGUAAUACGAAGGAUGCAAGCGUUAUCCGGAAUUAUUGGGUUUAAAGGGUGCGUAGGCGGACUAAUAAGUCAGUGGUGAAAGCCUGCAGCUUAACUGCAGAAUUGCCAUUGAUACUGUUAGUCUUGAGUACAGUUGAGGUAGGCGGAAUGUGUCAUGUAGCGGUGAAAUGCUUAGAUAUGACACAGAACACCGAUUGCGAAGGCAGCUUGCUAAGCUGUAACUGACGCUGAGGCACGAAAGCGUGGGGAUCAAACA
This 422-nucleotide ribosomal RNA is filed under the name uncultured bacterium. RNAcentral describes it as "bacterial SSU rRNA". It matches the Rfam family "Bacterial small subunit ribosomal RNA", at positions 355 to 774 of the family's 1533-position model. The record is from RNAcentral.